GCAAGUCGAACGAGAUUUAUGACUUCGGUUAUAAUGAAAGUGGCGCACGGGUGCGUAACGCGUAUGCAACCUACCCUUAACUGGGGGAUAGCCCGGAGAAAUUCGGAUUAAUACCCCAUAGUAUUCCAGAUUGGCAUCAGGAAGGAAUUAAAGAUUUAUUGGUUAAGGAUGAGCAUGCGUGCCAUUAGCUAGUUGGUAAGGUAACGGCUUACCAAGGCAAUGAUGUCUAGGGGUUCUGAGAGGAUGAUC
This 249-nucleotide ribosomal RNA is filed under the name uncultured bacterium. RNAcentral's name for it is "partial 16S ribosomal RNA". It matches the Rfam family "Bacterial small subunit ribosomal RNA", at positions 57 to 305 of the family's 1533-position model. The record is from RNAcentral.